CUUUCAUUAUGUCUUUGCUCUAUUCCUAUUACACGAUAAUAAGCAAAGAGGGGCAGCUGUUGUAGGCCAAUUUUGGCCCAAAUACAACCAAAUACCCACCCCAAUUUCAUCAGCCCAACAUCAUCAAACCCAAUCUAAACCAACAGCCCACCUAAACUAACCUACUAAACAUUUUCCAGCAAAGAAAAAAACCCUAGCCACCUCCCCACUUUCCUCUGACACCAGCCACCAGCACCUGCUCCACCAAUCACCCCCAUACCCUGUAAAAACAGAGCAAACAAGCAAGACGGGAAAAUAUGGAAAAAGUAAUAAAAAAACUUGUAAAAGAUGGCUAUAAAAAGCCAUUCAAAAAUGUUGUAAAGGGGGGGUUUAUUUUUUUUUAAAAGAAAGAUUGUAACACAGAUAUUGGAAAUAAAAGCGGAUACGAAAACAAAAAAAGAGAAGGAAGGUUCAAGAGGUUUAGUUUUGUUCUUUUUUUCCUUUUUUCUUCUUUUUGUUCUCUGCUUACCUUGUUUUUUUUCAUAUUCAUUCAUUGUUUUUUUUUUUCCUUUUUUUUCAAGAAAACCUUUUUUUAACAAAGAAACAUAAAAAAAUUUUAAAGUAGGCGUACCUAGGUUACGCUCCUUCGCUGUACACGGCGGUCACCGCCGUCGUCGUUGGCGGUAGGGCGGGUCUCUAAGGAACCCAAUCGACAGAAAGAAAAAGGGGGAGGGGAAGAGAGCAUGGAAGUUUUUUUUUUGUUUUUUUUU
Molecule: long non-coding RNA, 749 nt
Filed under: Gossypium barbadense (sea-island cotton)
Lineage: Eukaryota; Viridiplantae; Streptophyta; Magnoliopsida; Malvales; Malvaceae
Description: long non-coding RNA (GBAR_LNC012170)
Source: RNAcentral